Non-coding RNA from Paramuricea clavata, 278 nucleotides. The record is from the annotation of a GenBank genome assembly. Lineage: Eukaryota; Metazoa; Cnidaria; Anthozoa; Malacalcyonacea; Plexauridae.
AAACACCGCGUGCGAUGGCAAGACCCAGACGAGACUACAGGGUACAAGCUCGAGUUUGACGGAAUCCCUGUUGAAAUUACUGGAAUGAAAAUCCUAGAUUGCCAGAACGGACCAGAUAAAAAUAAAGCGAAGAAGAAAAAAGAAGCUUUAAGGAAGACCGAAAAAACCGUAAGCAAUACACCAGUGUGUUAAUUUAUAAUUAAAUAUAGUGGCACCACGUAAUAAGGGGCGGAUCAUUAGAAAUCCCGGGGGGGGGGGGUAUAAAAUUUUUGCGGCAC